GUCUACGGCCAUACCACCCUGAACGCACCCGAUCUCGUCUGAUCUCGGAAGCAAAGCAGGGUCGGGCCUGGUUUGUACUUGGAUGGGAGACCGCCUGAGAAUACCGGGUGCCAUAGGCU
This is a ribosomal RNA of Callithrix jacchus (white-tufted-ear marmoset), 119 nucleotides long. The record is from Ensembl. Lineage: Eukaryota; Metazoa; Chordata; Mammalia; Primates; Cebidae.